GAUGAACGCUGGCGGCGUGCCUAAUACAUGCAAGUCGAGCGAACAGACGAGGAGCUUGCUCCUCUGACGUUAGCGGCGGACGGGUGAGUAACAUGUGGAUAACCUACCUAUAAGACUGGGAUAACUUCGGGAAACCGGAGCUAAUACCGGAUAAUAUAUUGAACCGCAUGGUUCAAUAGUGAAAGACGGUUUUGCUGUCACUUAUAGAUGGAUCCGCGCCGCAUUAGCUAGUUGGUAAGGUAACGGCUUACCAAGGCAACGAUGCGUAGCCGACCUGAGAGGGUGAUCGGCCACACUGGAACUGAGACACGGUCCAGACUCCUACGGGAGGCAGCAGUAGGGAAUCUUCCGCAAUGGGCGAAAGCCUGACGGAGCAACGCCGCGUGAGUGAUGAAGGUCUUCGGAUCGUAAAACUCUGUUAUUAGGGAAGAACAAAUGUGUAAGUAACUAUGCACGUCUUGACGGUACCUAAUCAGAAAGCUACGGCUAACUACGUG
This 497-nucleotide ribosomal RNA is filed under the name uncultured bacterium. RNAcentral describes it as "partial 16S ribosomal RNA". It matches the Rfam family "Bacterial small subunit ribosomal RNA", at positions 28 to 507 of the family's 1533-position model. The record is from RNAcentral.